Molecule: long non-coding RNA, 718 nt
Filed under: Helianthus annuus (common sunflower)
Lineage: Eukaryota; Viridiplantae; Streptophyta; Magnoliopsida; Asterales; Asteraceae
Description: hypothetical non coding rna
Source: RNAcentral
CCCUAAGAUGAUCCUCAACUUUUCUUGAUUUAACUACCAUGUCAUCUACGUAGACCUCCAUCGUGUCCCCGAAUUUCUCUUUAAACAUCAUGUUCACUAACCUCUGGUAUGGUUACAUUCCGUUCCUAAGACAUUGACAUAUCCGUAUUGAUUACUUUUUGACAUUUUUUGCACUUUGAUGUUAUAAAUUCCGUUACGAUUGUUUCAAAUUUUUGGUCUAGAAUUAUGUGUGCUACCAUAUACCAGCUGUAGAGCUUCCUAGGUUUUCGGGGCCUUAUAAUUUACCAUAGCUUACCUGUACAAUAAUACGAUACAAUAUUUUAUAGUUAAAACCUUUGAUGAAGAUGUUGUAUGUGAGAUAGGUUUUAUAAGUAAUAUGCGAGAAUAAGCUACAUGUGAAGCUCGAGCUAUGCGCAUUAACCCACAAUAAGAUUGAGCGCUUUGGUCACCGAAAGGGGGAAGGAGUGCUAAGGAUGUAUGGGAAAAGGUUAAAGAUCUUCAAGAAUGGGAGAUUUGAAGAAGGUAAAAAUUUUAGAUGAGUUUGAUUGAGGUUUUGGGUAAAAACAUGAUUGUUUACAAGUUUUUUGUGUUGGAGUGGUAGUCGGUUUGGUUUAGAGUAAAAAAAAAACAUGUAUGGAUUAAAUGAGGAGGCAAAAUGAAAAUUCUUUUAUCCAAUUGUUAAAGACCAUAUUAUUGAUCUAAGUGUUUAUUAUUCUAG